AUCCAGCUGAAGAGUCCCAAAUAGAACGAAAUGCGCAUCCUGGAU
RNAcentral lists this non-coding RNA (45 nucleotides) under Trichobilharzia regenti. Lineage: Eukaryota; Metazoa; Platyhelminthes; Trematoda; Strigeidida; Schistosomatidae. The record is from RNAcentral.